CCCGGUGUUUAGUUGGAGAGAUGAAAUGAGAAGAAUCUGAUGUCACUCACCUCUUCGAUAUAAAUGGUGAGAUUACAUCUCUCAACAAAUAGAGUUAUUUGCAUUUGACAAGCCUAUAAUUUAAAUUUUUAGCAAUGUUUUCUUUCUAUUUUCAACAUAUGCAAAUAAAAAUAUAUGAUCAUGAGUACAUAUCAAAUAUUUACGAAAAAUAAUCACGAAAUG
RNAcentral lists this long non-coding RNA (222 nucleotides) under Hordeum vulgare. Its description in RNAcentral is "long non-coding RNA (HVUL_LNC011046)". Lineage: Eukaryota; Viridiplantae; Streptophyta; Magnoliopsida; Poales; Poaceae. The record is from RNAcentral.